Molecule: RNA transcript, 945 nt
Organism: Arabidopsis lyrata subsp. lyrata
Lineage: Eukaryota; Viridiplantae; Streptophyta; Magnoliopsida; Brassicales; Brassicaceae
Gene name: signal recognition particle 54 kDa protein, chloroplastic
Exons: 7
Source: RefSeq, a predicted model, not a curated record
UCUUCGUCUGGCCGGGGUUACUAGUUUUAAUACGCAGCGUUUCGUGGAAAGCUCACAUCGACGGCCGUUACUGGGAAACGGAUGAAAUGGAACCAUCCAAAAGCUCUUUUCUUUCUCUGCAACAAGAUAAAGAAGAUUGCGGAGAGAGUCAUAAAAAGGUUUUGAGCUUUGAUCACUACUAAUGGAGGCUCUGCAAUUUUCCAGCCAUUUCUCCGUGAGUAGAGUUCCGAAUUAUGUAUACUCUAGGAAUUCGGAGAAGUAGAGCAACAUUUAGCUCUGCAUUCACCGGUACCAGCAAUUCAGCUUCUCUCUCCUCUAGGAAUCCCUCAACGCGAGAGAUAUGGAGUUGGGUGAAAUCGAAGACUGUUGGUCAAGGAAGAUACAGAAGAAGCCAAGUGAGAGCCGAGAUGUUUGGACAGUUGACUGGUGGACUCGAGGCUGCUUGGAGCAAACUCAAAGGCGAAAGGUUUUGACCAAGGAGAAUAUUGCCGAACCAAUGCGAGAUAUUGGAAGAGCUCUCCUGGAAGCAGAUGUGAGUCUUCCAGUUGUUAGAAGGUUUGUUCAAUCUGUUAGUGACCAAGCCGUUGGAAUGGGUGUCAUUCGUGGAGUUAAACCAGAUUAGCAAUUGAUUUUACAUGAUGAGCUUGUGAAAUUGAUGGGUGGAGGAGUAUCUGAGUUACAGUUUGCUAAAUCAGGUGCUACAGUAAUAUUGUUGGCUGGACUCCAAGGAGUUGGAAAGACAAUGGUUUGCGCUAAACUAGCUUGUUACCUAAAGAAGCAGGGAAAAUCUUGCAUGCUUAUUGCUGGAGAUGUGUACCGACCUGCUACCAUUGAUCAACUUGUCAUUUUAGGUGAACAGGCUUUGGACUCGAUAACCAUCAACAUCUGCUAUCUUCCUCUCCAAGGAAACCUCAUCAAGCUUUAUUUUCAACCAGUCUAGCUUGA